RNAcentral lists this ribosomal RNA (496 nucleotides) under uncultured bacterium. Its description in RNAcentral is "partial 16S ribosomal RNA". It matches the Rfam family "Bacterial small subunit ribosomal RNA", at positions 29 to 507 of the family's 1533-position model. The record is from RNAcentral.
AUGAACGCUGGCGGCGUGCCUAAUACAUGCAAGUCGAGCGAACGGACGAGAAGCUUGCUUUUCUGAUGUUAGCGGCGGACGGGUGAGUAACACGUGGAUAACCUACCUAUAAGACUGGGAUAACUUCGGGAAACCGGAGCUAAUACCGGAUAAUAUUUUGAACCGCAUGGUUCAAAAGUGAAAGACGGUCUUGCUGUCACUUAUAGAUGGAUCCGCGCUGCAUUAGCUAGUUGGUAAGGUAACGGCUUACCAAGGCAACGAUGCAUAGCCGACCUGAGAGGGUGGUCGGCCACCCUGGAACUGAGACACGGUCCAGACUCCUACGGGAGGAAGCAGUAGGGAAUCUUCCGCAAUGGACGAAAGCCUGACGGAGCAACGCCGCGUGAGUGAUGAAGGUCUUCGGAUCGUAAAACUCUGUUAUUAGGGAAGAACAUAUGUGUAAGUAACUGUGCACAUCUUGACGGUACCUAAUCAGAAAGCCACGGCUAACUACGUG